AUUGAACGCUGGCGGCAGGCCUAACACAUGCAAGUCGAACGGUAACAGGAAGAAGCUUGCUUCUUUGCUGUCGCGUGGCGGACGGGUGAGACAUGUCUGGGACACUGCCUGAUGGCGGGGGAUAACUCCUGGAAACGGUAGCUAAUACCGCAUAACGUCGCAACCCCAAAAAGGAGGACCUUCGGGCCUCUUGGCUUCGGCUGUGCCCAGAUGGGAUUAGCUAGUAGGUAGGGUAACGGCUCACCUAGGCCACGAUCCCUAGCUGGUCUGAGAGGAUGACCAGCCGCACUGGAACUGAGACACGGUCCAGACUCCUACGGGAGGCAGCAGUGGGGAAUAUUGCGCAAUGGGCGAAAGCCUGAUGCAGCAAUGCCGCGUGUAUGAAGAAGGCCUUCGGAUUGUAAAGUACUUUCAGCGGGGAAGAAGGAAGUAAAGUUAAUACCUUUGCUCAUUGACGGUACCCGCAGAAGAAGCACCGGCUAACUACGUG
This 490-nucleotide ribosomal RNA is filed under the name uncultured bacterium. RNAcentral describes it as "partial 16S ribosomal RNA". It matches the Rfam family "Bacterial small subunit ribosomal RNA", at positions 30 to 507 of the family's 1533-position model. The record is from RNAcentral.